UACGUAGGUCCCGAGCGUUGUCCGGAUUUAUUGGGCGUAAAGCGAGCGCAGGUGGUUUAUUAAGUCUGGUGUAAAAGGCAGUGGCUCAACCAUUGUAUGCAUUGGAAACUGGUAGACUUGAGUGCGGGAGGGGCAGGCGGAAUUCCUGGUGUAGCGGUGAAAUGCGUAGAUAUCAGGAGGAACACCGGCGGCGAAGGCGGCCUGCUGGACCGCGACUGACGUUGAGGCUCGAAAGCGUGGGGAGCAAACAGG
Molecule: ribosomal RNA, 252 nt
Filed under: uncultured bacterium
Lineage: Bacteria
Description: partial 16S ribosomal RNA
Rfam family: Bacterial small subunit ribosomal RNA
Source: RNAcentral